GACGUAGGGCGCGAGCGUUGUCCGGAUUUAUUGGGCGUAAAGAGCUCGUAGGCGGCUCGUUGCGUCGGCUGUGAAAACCCGCGGCUCAACUGUGGGCUUGCAGCUGAUACGGGCGGGCUGGAGUUCGGUAGGGGAGACUGGAAUUCCUGGUGUAGCGGUGAAAUGCGCGGAUAUCAGGAGGAACACCGGUGGCGAAGGCGGGUCUCUGGGCCGUUACUGACGCUGAGGAGCGAAAGCGUGGGGAGCGAACAGG
This 253-nucleotide ribosomal RNA is filed under the name uncultured bacterium. RNAcentral's name for it is "partial 16S ribosomal RNA". It matches the Rfam family "Bacterial small subunit ribosomal RNA", at positions 524 to 776 of the family's 1533-position model. The record is from RNAcentral.